This 408-nucleotide ribosomal RNA is filed under the name uncultured bacterium. RNAcentral's name for it is "partial 16S ribosomal RNA". It matches the Rfam family "Bacterial small subunit ribosomal RNA", at positions 28 to 526 of the family's 1533-position model. The record is from RNAcentral.
GACGAACGCUGGCGGCGUGCUUAACACAUGCAAGUCGAACGAAGUGGCGAACGGGUGAGUAACGCGUAAUCACCCUGCCCUUCAGAGGGGGAAAACAGUUGGAAACGACUGCUACUACCGCAUAACAAAGGAGGGGCUUUCUUCGGAGUAGAUAGUUGGAGGGGUAAAGGCCCAACAAGGCGAUGAUCAGUAGCCGGUCUGAGAGGAUGAAGGGCCACAUUGGGACGUAUACACGGCCCAGACUCCUACGGGAGGCAGCAGUGGGGAAUCUUCCGCAAUGGACGAAAGUCUGACGGAGCAACGCCGCGUGAGUGAUGACGGCCUUCGGGUUGUAAAGCUCUGUUAAUCGGGACGCGGUACCGGAAUAGAAAGCCACGGCUAACUACGUGCCAGCCGCCGCGGUAAUUC